GCCCUGUAGCUCAGUUGGUUAGAGCAUUGCUCUGAUAUCCCAAGGUUGCAGGUUCAAUCCCUAGUCAGGGC
Non-coding RNA from Myotis lucifugus (little brown bat), 71 nucleotides. The record is from Rfam. NCBI's taxonomy places the organism in Eukaryota, Metazoa, Chordata, Mammalia, Chiroptera, Vespertilionidae.